ACGCUCGACACCUACAGGCAGCAGUUGGGAAUAUUGGACAAUGGAGGAAACUCUGAUCCAGUGACGCCGCGUGAAGGAAGAAGGUCUUCGGAUUGUAAACUUAUUUUGUCAGGGAAGAAAAAAUGACUGUACCUGAAGAAAAAGCACCGGCUAACUACGUGCCAGCAGCCGCGGUAAUCUGAGCGGGCUGGCAAGGC
This 197-nucleotide ribosomal RNA is filed under the name uncultured bacterium. Its description in RNAcentral is "partial 16S ribosomal RNA". It matches the Rfam family "Bacterial small subunit ribosomal RNA", at positions 326 to 539 of the family's 1533-position model. The record is from RNAcentral.